This 440-nucleotide ribosomal RNA is filed under the name uncultured bacterium. RNAcentral describes it as "partial 16S ribosomal RNA". It matches the Rfam family "Bacterial small subunit ribosomal RNA", at positions 338 to 795 of the family's 1533-position model. The record is from RNAcentral.
CCUACGGGUGGCAGCAGUGGGGAAUAUUGCACAAUGGGGGAAACCCUGAUGCAGCGACGCCGCGUGAGUGAAGACGUAAUUCGUUAUGUAAAGCUCUAUCAGCAGGGAAGAAAAUGACGGUACCUGAGUAAGAAGCCCCGGCUAACUACGUGCCAGCAGCCGCGGUGAUUCGUAGGGGGCAAGCGUUAUCCGGAUUUACUGGGUGUAAAGGGAGCGUAGGCGGCAGUACAAGGCUGGAGUGAAAGGCGGGGGCUCAACCCCCGGAGUGCUCUGGAAACUGUACGGCUGGAGUGCGGGAGAGGUAAGUGGAAUUCGUAGUGUAGCGGUGAAAUGCGUAGAUAUUAGGAAGAACACCAGUGGCGAAGGCGGAUUACUGGACUGUAACUGACGUUGAGGCUCGAAAGCGUGGGGAGCGAACAGGAUUAGAUACCCUAGUAGUC